CGGAGAGCCGCGGGACUGAGUGGCGGACGGGUGAGUAACGCGUGGGCAACCUGCCCCGUACAGGGGGAUAACAGCCGGAAACGGCUGCUAAUACCGCAUAAGCGCACAGCGCCGCAUGGCGCGGUGUGAAAAGCUCCGGCGGUACGGGAGGGGCCCGCGUCUGAUUAGGCAGUUGGCGGGGCAGCGGCCCACCAAACCGACGAUCAGUAGCCGGCCUGAGAGGGCGGCCGGCCACAUUGGGACUGAGACACGGCCCAAACUCCUGCGGGAGGCAGCAGUGGGGAAUUUUCGUCAAUGGGCGCAAGCCUGAACGAGCAAUGCCGCGUGAACGAGGAAGGUCUUCGGAUCGUAAAGUUCUGUUGAAGGGGAAAAAGAGCGGAGAGAGGAAAUGGUCUCCGAUUGAUAUUACCCUUCGAGGAAGUCACGGCUAACUACGUGCCAGCAGCCGCGGUAAUACGUAGGUGGCGAGCGUUAUCCGGAAUGAUUGGGCGUAAAGGGUGCGUAGGCGGCCUGCUAAGUCUGGAGUGAAAGGUACCGGCUCAACCGGUACAGGCUCUGGAAACUGGCGGGCUAGAGAGCAGGAGAGGGCGGUGGAACUCCAUGUGUAGCGGUAAAAUGCGUAGAUAUAUGGAAGAACACCAGUGGCGAAGGCGGCCGCCUGGCCUGUUACUGACGCUGAGGCACGAAAGCGUGGGGAGCAAAUAGGAUUAGAUACCCUAGUAGUCCACGCCGUAAACGAUGAGGACCAAGUGUUGGGGAAGACCCAGUGCUGCAGUUAACGCAGUGAGUCCUCCGCCUGGGGAGUAUGCACGCAAGUGUGAAACUCAAAGGAAUUGACGGGGGCCCGCACAAGCGGUGGAGUAUGUGGUUUAAUUUGAAGCAACGCGAAGAACCUUACCAGGCCUUGACAUAGGGUGCGAAGCUAUGGAGACAUAGUGGAGGUAAACAUCCAUACAGGUGGUGCAUGGUUGUCGUCAGCUCGUGUCGUGAGAUGUUCAGUUAAGUCUGGCAACGAGCGCAACCCUCGUGAUGUGUUACCAAUAUCGAGUUAGGGACUCACAUCAGACUGCCGGUGAGAAACCGGAGGAAGGCGGGGAUGACGUCAAAUCAUCAUGCCCCUUAUGGCCUGGGCUACACACGUACUACAAUGGCGGCGACAGAGGGCAGCGAGCCUGCGAAGGCAAGCGAAUCCCAAAAAAGCCGUCCCAGUUCGGAUUGGAGUCUGCAACCCGACUCCAUGAAGUUGGAAUCGCUAGUAAUCGCGGAUCAGCAUGCCGCGGUGAAUACGUUCUCGGGCCUUGCACUCACCGCCCGUCAA
RNAcentral lists this ribosomal RNA (1318 nucleotides) under uncultured bacterium. RNAcentral describes it as "bacterial SSU rRNA". It matches the Rfam family "Bacterial small subunit ribosomal RNA", at positions 76 to 1400 of the family's 1533-position model. The record is from RNAcentral.